RNAcentral lists this ribosomal RNA (477 nucleotides) under uncultured bacterium. RNAcentral's name for it is "partial 16S ribosomal RNA". It matches the Rfam family "Bacterial small subunit ribosomal RNA", at positions 28 to 507 of the family's 1533-position model. The record is from RNAcentral.
GAUGAACGCUGGCGGCGUGCCUAACACAUGCAAGUCGAACGAAGCACCUUACCUGAUUCUUCGGAUGAAAGUUUGGUGACUGAGUGGCGGACGGGUGAGUAACGCGUGGGUAACCUGCCCUGUACAGGGGGAUAACAGCUGGAAACGGCUGCUAAUACCGCAUAAGCGCACGAGGAGACAUCUCCUCGUGUGAAAAACUCCGGUGGUACAGGAUGGGCCCGCGUCUGAUUAGCUGGUUGGCAGGGUAACGGCCUACCAAGGCAACGAUCAGUAGCCGGUCUGAGAGGCUGAACGGCCACAUUGGAACUGGGACACGGUCCAAACUCCUACGCGAGGCAGCAGUGGGGAAUAUUGCACAAUGGGGGAAACCCUGAUGCAGCAACGCCGCGUGAGUGAAGAAGUAUUUCGGUAUGUAAAGCUCUAUCAGCAGGGAAGAUAAUGACGGUACCUGACUAAGAAGCUCCGGCUAAAUACGUG